GGGCAAGUAGCUCAGUUGGAUAGAGCGUUGGCCUCCGGAGCCAAAGGUCGUGGGUUCGAAUCCCGUCUUGCUCA
This 74-nucleotide transfer RNA is filed under the name Spirochaetales bacterium. RNAcentral describes it as "tRNA-Arg". It matches the Rfam family "tRNA". From Rfam's summary of the family: Transfer RNA (tRNA) molecules are approximately 80 nucleotides in length. The record is from RNAcentral. Lineage: Bacteria; Pseudomonadati; Spirochaetota; Spirochaetia; Spirochaetales.